CUCCCAUCAAGAGAGAUAACACGAGGAAGAGAGAGAAAGAGACAGAGAGAGCGAUACCCGUGUCCACUCGACGGCAAUGGCGAAUACAGAUUGCCGGAGAUAAAUAUGGUACAAAUAACUGUAUUUCAAUUGAUUCCCCCUUCGUUAUGACUUAUAAUGCAUAUGGAUCUUAUACCACUCGUACUGGCCAGAACAAUUCAUCAUCUGCUGCAACAAUUAAAUGUGAAAGUGUACGUUUUCUUUCCAUAUACCGGUUUCAAUCAUUUCAAUCCCUGAUCUUAUAAAUGCAUGAUUACUUGGAUUUUAUUUUACUUGCACUCGUUAGUUCUUUGAACAUGUAUAUUUGUCUUGUUUUUUCUCCGUAUUUAGUUAUUUACCUUGUCAAAACUUCUUAUGAUUAGAUCGUUUAUUUUUGAAUUCGAAAUUCGAAUUAAAUAGUUGAAACAUGUCUUUCGGAUUAAAAGUUAUAUUUUCCUUUUGUUUUUAUUGCAUGACUUUAUUUCCUGGAACUAUCAUCGCCUUCUAGCUUUUUCCUCUCAAGAUUUAGAAGCUCAGUUUAGUAUUAGUUGUCUAACAGUCUGCUUGAAGUUUAUAGUAUUUGUUAGUUGCGGAUGCGUUUUCUGCUACACCAUUAACAGCCAAACCAAUCUACUGCUUCGUGGUUUUUGUUUUUGUUUUUUUUUUUCUUGAGGUGUAACUUCCAUCAGUAAAAGCAGCUAUUCUCGGAUCUAUAAAACUUCCCUUUUCUCAUCUUCACCUGAACUUUCCUUUCCUCAUAUUCUUAACGCGUCUGUUUAGGCUGUAUAAGCAUCUUGCUUGAUGGUAAGGUCAGCCUUUCUCCAUCUAGCAUACAUAUUUUUGUGUUUUCCUUCCGUUGUGUUUUUUAAGCAAUAUACUUCGCUGGAGUGGAGUUCUUGAGUUUGUUUAUCUUCAUUUUUAAAUGCAAAAUUACAGGUCCCUGGGUAGUCAAUCUGUUCAGUUGGGGAAGGAGAUGUGACUCAACUAUAAUUUUUUGUUUAUUUUUAGGAUAAUACUCUGGAUAUUUGUUAGUUUUUAGUGAAAAUAUAGUUUAUGGACAUUUUUCACAUCCUGGCACCAUACAUGUGUUUCCAUUGAAUAAUUCGGCAGAGAACAUUUUAAAACUGUACUAAAUAUUUUUUGGUUUUUUGGUUUUUUGUUUUUGUACUUAUGAGGAUCGUAAACGCAUCUGUUUGAGCAUGAGAAUUUUUGUUGAUAUUUUAAGCAUAUGGUUUCAUUGUAGUAAUAACUGUUUUAAUAACUUUUAGUUUAGAAACUUCUUCGGAUUUGGUUCCGUGUUGAAAAUUUUUAAAAUUCAAUGGAGAAAGCUGGGCUUAUUAUUAUUUUUAAUCCUGGAGAUGUAUGUCGUUGGAUGGAGAUUAAAUUAUAGUUCCAUGAGUCUUGUCCAUUAUCAUACUGGCUCUUGUAGAUUCCCACGUGCCUUUCCCAAUUGAAACCUGCUGACAGCUUCUGAAUUGGUGGGUCGGGACUCUGCGGAUAAGAUACUUGUAACAGUUCUUGGUUGCAGCCUCUUUUUAGAUCUUGUAAUGGCUGAUGGUAAUGUGUCACUGUAUCAGUCCAAAGCUUUAAAUGGUGAUUUUGACAUGUUUGUUAAAAAGGCGCACGAGUUUCAUCUAUUGCUUUGUGGGAUUUGGUGUCUCUCUCCAUUUUUUCCCCCUUCACUUCCUCUCCAAUAUUCAUUUUAACUCUUGGAUAUUUUUUUUUUGGAGCAAACUUUGGAUCAAAUUUUGAAUGAUUAGAAUUUAACAUUUUCUUAAAAUAAUUUUUUUAUUACAAUCGUAAAUUUUGAAUUAUAGUUUAAAUUAGAUUUGUUAUAUUUUAAAUUUAUUUAUUUAUUUUUAUAAAUUUAAAUUUAAAUUUAAAUUUUAAAAAAUAUUAAAUUUUAAUCAUUCAAAAUUUGAUAUGGGAAGUUGAGAGGGAGUGAAAAAGAAAGAGACGAGGCAAGUGAGUUUUAGCAUCAUGGCGUUGGUUUCUUUUUCAAGAAGCUAAAGGGGGUAAAUAUUACUUUAGAUGUCAUUUUCUUGUGCAGAAGAUCUAAAGGUCUUUGCUUGUUGCUUUCUUGUAAAGGAAAAGGUUUCUUUUACUUUUUAAGACGGUAGGUUUCCAUGUGGAAGGCAAUACUAUACUGUACGCUUGUGAACUGUACUGUGUCUCUGUAUUUGCUGCCUUGAAAGUAAUGAAAUCUAUUAUUUGUUUGUUGA
Molecule: long non-coding RNA, 2240 nt
Organism: Prosopis cineraria
Lineage: Eukaryota; Viridiplantae; Streptophyta; Magnoliopsida; Fabales; Fabaceae
Exons: 2
Source: RefSeq, a predicted model, not a curated record